CCUACGGGUGGCAGCAGUGGGGAAUAUUGGUCAAUGGGCGCUAGCCUGACCCAGCAACGCCGCGUGAAGGAAGAAGGCCCUCGGGUUGUAAACUUCUUUUUUCAGGGACGAAGCAAGUGACGGUACCUGAGGUAUAAGCCACGGCUAACUAUGUGCCAGCAGCCGCGGCAAUACGGAGGCGGCAAGCGUUAUCCGGAUUUACUGGGUGUAAAGGGCGUGUAGGCGGGUACGCAAGUCAGAUGUGAAAACCACGGGCUCAACCUGUGGACUGGAUUUGAUACUGUGUUUCUUGAGUACUGGAGAGGCAGACGGAAUUCGUGGUGUAGCGGUGAAAUGCGUAGAUAUUAGGAAGAACACCAGUGGCGAAGGCGGCCUGCUGGACAGCAACUGACGCUGAGGCGCGAAAGCGUGGGGAGCAAACAGGAUUAGAUACCCGAGUAGUC
This 443-nucleotide ribosomal RNA is filed under the name uncultured bacterium. Its description in RNAcentral is "partial 16S ribosomal RNA". It matches the Rfam family "Bacterial small subunit ribosomal RNA", at positions 338 to 795 of the family's 1533-position model. The record is from RNAcentral.